UCGCGGGUGGUGCGAAAGACUUUCCGGGCGCGUCCGGGUGCCGCGGCUCUCCGGGCCCCCCUGCAGCCGGGGCGGCCAAGGGGCGUCGGCGACAUCCUCCCCCUAAGCGCCGGCCGGCCGCUGGUCUGUUUUUUCGUUUUCCCCGUUUCGGGGGUGGUGGGGGUUACGGUUUCUGUUUUUUAAACCCGUCUGGGGUGUUUUUCGUUCCGUCGCCGGGAUGUUUCGUUCGUUCGGCCCCUCACGGGGCGAAGGCCGCGUACGGCCCGGGACGAGGGGCCCCCGACCGCGGCGGUCCGGGCCCCGUCCGGGCCCGCUCGCCGGCACGCGACGCGAAAAAGGCCCCCCGGAGGCUUUUCCGGGUUCCCGGCCCGGGGCCUGAGAUGAACACUCGGGGUUACCGCCAACGGCCGGCCCCCGUGGCGGCCCGGCCCGGGGCCCCGGCGGACCCAAGGGGCCCCGGGCCGGGGCCCCACAACGGCCCGGCGCAUGCGCUGUGUUUUUUUUUUCCUCGGUGUUCUACCGGGCUCCGUCGCCUUUCCUGUUCUCGCUUCUUCCCCCCCCCCCCCUUCUUCACCCCCAGUACCCUCCUCCCUCCCUUCCUCCCCCGUUAUCCCACUCGUCGAGGGCGCCCCGGUGUCGUUCAACAAAGACGCCGCGUUUCCAGGGCACCGACGGCCCCGCCCGAGGAGGCGGAAGCGGAGGAGGACGCGGCCCCGGCGGCGGAAGAGGCGGCCCCCGCGGGAGUCGGGGCCGAGGAGGAAGAGGCGGAGGAGGAAGAGGCGGAGGCCGCCGAGGACGUCAGGGGGGUCCCGGGCCCACCCUGGCCGCGCCCCCCCGGCCCUGAGUCGGAGGGGGGGUGCGUCGCCGCCCUCUUGGCCCCUGCCGGCGCGAGGGGGGGACGCGUGGACUGGGGGGAGGGGUUUUCCUGGCCCGACCCGCGCCUCUUCCUCGGACGCACCGCCGCCUCCUGCUCGACAGAGACGGCGGAGGGGAGCGGGGCGGCGCCGGAGGGGGCGGCGCCGCGGGAGGGCCCGUGCCCACCCUCCACGCCCGGCCCCCCCGAGCCGCGCGCCACCGUCGCACGCGCCCGGCACAGACUCUGUUCUUGGUUCGCGGCCUGAGCCAGGGACGAGUGCGACUGGGGCACACGGCGCGCGUCCGCGGGGCGGGCGGCCGGCUCCGCCCCGGGGGCCGGGGCGCGGGGGCCGGGCCCCGGAGGCGGCGCUCGCACGCACGGGGCCACGGCCGCGCGGGGGCGCGCGGGUCCCGACGCGGCCGCGGACGCGGGGGGCCCGGGGCGGGGGGCGGAGCCUGGCAUGGGCGCCGCGGGGGGCCUGUGGGGAGAGGCCGGGGGGGAGUCGCUGAUCACUAUGGGGUCUCUGUUGUUUGCAAGGGGGGCGGGUCUGUUGACAAGGGGGCCCGUCCGGCCCCUCGGCCGCCCCGCCUCCGCUUCAACAACCCCACCCCCAACCCCAACCCCCCCGGAGGGGCCAGACGCCCCCCGCGGCGCCGCGGCUCGCGACUGGCGGGAGCCGCCGCCGCCGCUGCUGUUGGUGGUGGUGUUGGUGUUACUGCUGCCGUGUGGCCCGAUGGGCGCCGAGGGGGGCGCUGUCCGAGCCGCGGCCGGCUGGGGGGCUGCGUUAGACGCCCCGCCCGUCACGGGGGGCGCGGCGGUGCCUCUGCGUGGGGGGGCGCGGGGCGUCCGGCGGGGGGCGGGCGGGACGUAGUCUGCUGCAAGAGACAACGGGGGGCGCGAUCAGGUUACGCCCCCCUCCCCGGCCCGCCCUUUCCUCGCCCGCCCGCCCAUUCCUCCCUCCCCCCCCCUCCUCCUCCUCCUCCCCCAGGGUCCUUGCCGCCCCCCGCCUCACCGUCGUCCAGGUCGUCGUCAUCCUCGUCCGUGGUGGGCUCCGGGUGGGUGGGCGACAGGGCCCUCACCGUGUGCCCCCCCAGGGUCAGGUACCGCGGGGCGAACCGCUGAUUGCCCGUCCAGAUAAAGUCCACGGCCGUGCCCGCCCUGACGGCCUCCUCGGCCUCCAUGCGGGUCUGGGGGUCGUUCACGAUCGGGAUGGUGCUGAACGACCCGCUGGGCGUCACGCCCACUAUCAGGUACACCAGCUUGGCGUUGCACAGCGGGCAGGUGUUGCGCAAUUGCAUCCAGGUUUUCAUGCACGGGAUGCAGAAGCGGUGCAUGCACGGGAAGGUGUCGCAGCGCAGGUGGGGCGCGAUCUCAUCCGUGCACACGGCGCACACGUCGCCCUCGUCGCUCCCCCCGUCCUCUCGAGGGGGGGCGCCCCCGCAACUGCCGGGGUCUUCCUCGCGGGGGGGGCUCCCCCCCGAGACCGCCCCCCCAUCCACGCCCUGCGGCCCCAGCAGCCCCGUCUCGAACAGUUCCGUGUCCGUGCUGUCCGCCUCGGAGGCGGAGUCGUCGUCAUGGUGGUCGGCGUCCCCCCGCCCCCCCACUUCGGUCUCCGCCUCAGAGUCGCUGCUGUCCGGCAGGUCUCGGUCGCAGGGAAACACCCAGACAUCCGGGGCGGGCUAAGGGGAAAAAAGGGGGGCGGGUAAGAAUGGGGGGGGAUUUCCCGCGUCAAUCAGCGCCCACGAGUUCCCCCUCUCCCCCCCCCGCCUCACAAAGUCCUGCCCCCCUGCUGGCCUCGGAAGAGGGGGGAGAAAGGGGUCUGCAACCAAAGGUGGUCUGGGUCCGUCCUUUGGAUCCCGACCCCUCUUCUUCCCUCUUCUCCCGCCCUCCAGACGCACCGGAGUCGGGGGUCCCACGGCGUCCCCCAAAUAUGGCGGGCGGCUCCUCCCCACCCCCCUAGAUGCGUGUGAGUAAGGGGGGCCUGCGUAUGAGUCAGUGGGGACCACGCCCCCAACACGGCGACCCCGGUCCCUGUGCGUUUGUUGUGGGGGCGUGUCUCUGUGUAUGAGUCGGGGGGUCCCACGGCGACCCCGGGCCCUGCGUCUGAGUCAAAGGGGCCAUGUGUAUGUGUUGGGGGUCUGUAUAUAUAAAGUCAGGGGGUCACAUGGCGACCCCCAACAGGGCGACCCCGGUCCCUGUAUAUAUAGGGUCAGGGGGUUCCGCGCCCCCUAACAUGGCGCCCCCGGUCCCUGUAUAUAUAGUGUCACGGGGUUCCACGCCCCCUAACAUGGCGCCCGGCUCCCGUGUAUGAGUGGGGGUCCCCCAACAUGGCGGCCGGUUCCAGUGUAAGGGUCGGGGGUCCCCCAACAUGGCGCCCCCCAAUAUGGCGCCCCCCAAUAUGGCGCCCCCCAAUAUGGCGCCCCAGACAUGGCGCCCGGCCCCUCACCUCGCGCUGGGGGCGGCCCUCAGGCCGGCGGGUACUCGCUCCGGGGCGGGGCUCCAUGGGGGUCGUAUGCGGCUGGAGGGUCGCGGACGGAGGGUCCCUGGGGGUCGCAACGUAGGCGGGGCUUCUGUGGUGAUGCGGAGAGGGGGCGGCCCGAGUCUGCCUGGCUGCUGCGUCUCGCUCCGAGUGCCGAGGUGCAAAUGCGACCAGACUGUCGGGCCAGGGCUAACUUAUACCCCACGCCUUUCCCCUCCCCAAAGGGGCGGCAGUGACGAUUCCCCCAAUGGCCGCGCGUCCCAGGGGAGGCAGGCCCACCGCGGGGCGGCCCCGUCCCCGGGGACCAACCCGGCGCCCCCAAAGAAUAUCAUUAGCAUGCACGGCCCGGCCCCCGAUUUGGGGGACCAACCCGGUGUCCCCCAAAGAACCCCAUUAGCAUGCCCCUCCCGCCGACGCAACAGGGGCUUGGCCUGCGUCGGUGCCCCGGGGCUUCCCGCCUUCCCGAAGAAACUCAUUACCAUACCCGGAACCCCAGGGGACCAAUGCGGGUUCAUUGAGCGACCCGCGGGCCAAUGCGCGAGGGGCCGUGUGUUCCGCCAAAAAAGCAAUUAGCAUAACCCGGAACCCCAGGGGAGUGGUUACGCGCGGCGCGGGAGGCGGGGAAUACCGGGGUUGCCCAUUAAGGGCCGCGGGAAUUGCCGGAAGCGGGAAGGGCGGCCGGGGCCGCCCAUUAAUGAGUUUCUAAUUACCAUACCGGGAAGCGGAACAAGGCCUCUUGCAAGUUUUUAAUUACCAUACCGGGAAGUGGGCGGCCCGGCCCAUUGGGCGGUAACUCCCGCCCAAUGGGCCGGGCCCCGAAGACUCGGCGGACGCUGGUUGGCCGGGCCCCGCCGCGCUGGCGGCCGCCGAUUGGCCAGUCCCGCCCCCGAGGCGGGCCCGCCCUGUGAGGGCGGGCCGGCUCCAAGCGUAUAUAUGCGCGGCUCCUGCCAUCGUCUCUCCGGAGAGCGGCUUGGUGCGGAGCUCCCGGGAGCUCCGCGGAAGACCCAGGCCGCCUCGGGUGUAACGUUAGACCGAGUUCGCCGGGCCGGCUCCGCGGGCCAGGGCCCGGGCACGGGCCUCGGGCCCCAGGCACGGCCCGAUGACCGCUUCGGCCUCCGCCACCCGGCGCCGGAACCGAGCCCGGUCGGCCCGCUCGCGGGCCCACGAGCCGCGGCGCGCCAGGCGGGCGGCCGAGGCCCAGACCACCAGGUGGCGCACCCGGACGUGGGGCGAGAAGCGCACCCGCGCGGGGGUCGCGGGGGUCGCGGGGGUCGCGGGGGUCGCGGGGGUCGCGGGGGUCGCGGGGGGCUCCGGCGCCCCCUCCCCGCCCGCGCGUCGCAGGCGCAGGCGCGCCAGGUGCUCCGCGGUGACGCGCAGGCGGAGGGCGAGGCGCGGCGGAAGGCGGAAGGGGCGCGAGGGGGGGUGGGAGGGGUCAGCCCCGCCCCCCGGGCCCACGCCGGGCGGUGGGGACCGGGGCCGGGGGGCGGCGGCGGUGGGCCGGGCCUCUGGCGCCGGCUCGGGCGGGGGGCUGUCCGGCCAGUCGUCGUCAUCGUCGUCGUCGGACGCGGACUCGGGAACGUGGAGCCACUGGCGCAGCAGCAGCGAACAAGAAGGCGGGGGCCCACCGGCGGGGGGCGGCGGCGGGGCGGCCGCGGGCGCGCUCCUGACCGCGGGUUCCGAGUUGGGCGUGGAGGUUACCUGGGACUGUGCGGUUGGGACGGCGCCCGUAGGCCCGGGCGGCCGGGGGCGGCGGGGGCCGCGAUGGCGGCGGCGGCGGGCCAUGGAGACAGAGAGCGUGCCGGGGUGGUAGAGUUUGACAGGCAAGCAUGUGCGUGCAGAGGCGAGUAGUGCUUGCCUGUCUAACUCGCUAGUCUCGGCCGCGGGGGGCCCGGGCUGCCCGCCGCCGCCGCUUUAAAGGGCCGCGCGCGACCCCCGGGGGGUGUGUUUCGGGGGGGGGCCCGUUUUUGGGGUCUGGCCGCUCCUCCCCCCGCUCCUCCCCGUCUGUGGGUGGGGCUCCUCCCCCCGCUCCUCCCCCCGCUCCUCCCCCCGCUCCUCCCCCCGCUCCUCCCC
RNAcentral lists this small RNA (5405 nucleotides) under Human alphaherpesvirus 1 (Herpes simplex virus type 1). RNAcentral describes it as "LAT". The stretch from base 2662 to 2730 matches the Rfam family "mir-H7 microRNA precursor family". Lineage: Duplodnaviria; Heunggongvirae; Peploviricota; Herviviricetes; Herpesvirales; Orthoherpesviridae. The record is from RNAcentral.